CCUUUUAGGGCAGCUAUGUCUUUUUUUUUUUUUUUUUUUUUUUUUUUUUUUGUGUCUUCCACUUCAAAGUAAAAAAUCUGUAAACUACUAGGAGUGGAAAACAUGACAUUCAGCCCAUAGGUGAAGGCUCUGAUUAAUGUCAUAGGUGGGAUGUGUGAACAAGAAAUUGUGUUAUUCUGUGCAUAAACAUCACUUUAUUUUCUAAAGUGGUAAUUUCAAGUGCCUCUUUUUGCAUCCUGUUUGGGUGCUCUUUCCCCUCCCACGUGCCAUCUGCUCUGUCCACCAGCACCACACGUUGAUUAGCACCCCUGGAUGUGGGACACUGUUACAGAACCAGAAAGAAACCCAAGACAGUCCCUUCCUUGAGGAACAAUCACCGUCCAAAGCCAGCAAGCUCUCAUCGUCCUGCAUAGUAAGAGUCUUCAGAACGUGGAAAGGAACUUCAGUGGCUUUUGCUGGGUUGGGCUGAAGGAAACCCCGGUGAAACCCACACCUGUAAAGAUGCUUCUCACAGUGGGACUUUUAUCGCUUGGGUCCUGGUCACAAUCAAUUUUUCUGCAAAUAAUUGGCUUUGCUUUUCUUGUGGUGAGUCUCUAAGGACAGUGAGUUCCGUUCUGGGGACUGUGAGUUCUAUGCUGUGUACAUGUGUGCUUUGGAGGGUGACUGGAAGCACCAUCGUUCCUUCCCAUACUUUCAGGCUCAGUUACCGCUUCAGUCUGGACUGUUGUGAACGAGAAUAUGGAAGUCAUUUUCCCCACAUUGUUUACCCAGCUUGCCUGGGAAACACCAACUGGAGGAUUAGAGUCCGGCUCUUCAGUUUGAACUCACUUUCCCUUUCUCUUCCUGGGACCACCCAGUGAUUCAGAGCCCUGCAUUCUGUAAUGAGAUUAAUGUCAACAGUUUCCUGCAUUGAAGAUUAUUUUCCCAAAGAGUUCACGAUUUCCUUCAGGACUUCUCCAUCACCCCAGUGUCUGGCUACCUAAUGACUGAUUAACAGGUUGAUUUUCUAGAAAACUCAAAUUACAAUUUCUUUUUUUUAAAAAAGGGCAAUCCAGCCUUUUCUCUGAUUAUCCGUCCUCCCCAUCUCCCACUUGUCCUAUGUUUUAGCCACACAGGCUGUUGUCAUCCCCUAAAAGUGUGCUUCUGAGUCUCCAGGCCUUUGAUAAAUUGUUCCCUCCUCCUGAAAUGCCAUUCACGCCAUCUGCCUUUUGGAAUUCUGCCCUUCCCUCGGAAUCUAGCCCAAGUCCUAUCUCCUCUAAGAAGGGACUUUUCUAGAUUGAAUUAAAUUUCCUUCCCUGGCCCUGCAUAGUGGCCGCACCCAGUAGACUGUGAGUCUACUUUUUUCAUCUUUUAUUCUUACAAGUGCCUGGCCUCAUAUUUUGCACACAGUAGGCAUUUGCUAUACUUUAAUUACUAGUAAAAUUGAGUGAUAAAAUAAAACAUUUAAAUCUCA
RNAcentral lists this long non-coding RNA (1453 nucleotides) under Homo sapiens (human). RNAcentral describes it as "HSALNT0338088". Lineage: Eukaryota; Metazoa; Chordata; Mammalia; Primates; Hominidae. The record is from RNAcentral.